AGCUGGUGACCUGUUUCAUUUUGAGUAGAAAUGUAACCUAGGACAAUUUAAGACAUUUAGUUCUCUUACUUUUGAUAAUACUGGCUCGUAUCUAGUUACCUGCUAUGACUCUGUUAAGAUCAGGACUUUUUUUUUUUUUUUUUUAAACAGCUUUUCUGGCUAGGUUUCAGUUUCGUUUCAUUUUCUAUCACUUUGGUUUCAGUUCUGUUUCUCAGGAUACUCUCUUUCCCUUUCCAGGGGUAGUAUCUGAUCCUUUUAGAAUCGUUCCUUUGUGAUUCCUUCUGAUUAAGAUACACGAAUUACUCUAAGGCAGAUAUUCCCAAACGGGAUGUUUAAAAAGCAGUUUUAAAACUUAGUACCAGGCAAAUUCGGUCCAGCAUUAAGCAAAAGGCACUUGCUUUAUUAGUAUCAUAAAUUUGCCUAAUAGCUGUCUCAGUGUGUAUGUCCCAUGGCUGACUUAUUUUGUGUGUGGUUCUUGACGUGUCAAAAGAUCACCAAGAAUCCCUGUCACCCUGAUCAGUCAAAGACAGAGAUCACAAGUAGGCAAAGAGGCAGGCGGGGAGCCUGA
RNAcentral lists this long non-coding RNA (568 nucleotides) under Mustela putorius furo (domestic ferret). RNAcentral describes it as "lncRNA (ENSMPUG00000030241.1)". Lineage: Eukaryota; Metazoa; Chordata; Mammalia; Carnivora; Mustelidae. The record is from RNAcentral.